CCUACGGGGUGCAGCGGUGGGGAAUCUUCCGCACUGGGCGAAGGCCUGACGGAGCAACGCCGCGUGAUCGAAUGAAGGCCUUCGGGUGGUCAAGAUCUGUUGACAGGGACGAAUAAGCAAUGCGAAUAGUUUUGUGUAUGACGGUACUUGUUUAGAAACCUCCGGCUAACUACGUGCCAGCAGCCGCGGGAGUACGUAGGGAGCAAGCGUUGUCCGGAAUUACUGGGCGUAAAGGGCGCGUAGGUGGGCGCUUAAGUCAGGUGUGAAAACUCCGGGCUCAACCUGGAGACGGAAGUUGAAACGGGGUGUCUUGAGGGCAGGAGAGGAAAGUGGAAUUCCUAGUGUAGCGGUGAAAUGCGUAGAUAUUAGGAGGAACACCAGUGGCGAAGGCGACUUUCUGGACUGUACCUGACGCUGAGGCGCGAAAGCGUGGGUAGCGAACGUGAUUAGAUACCCCGGUAGUC
RNAcentral lists this ribosomal RNA (464 nucleotides) under uncultured bacterium. RNAcentral describes it as "partial 16S ribosomal RNA". It matches the Rfam family "Bacterial small subunit ribosomal RNA", at positions 338 to 795 of the family's 1533-position model. The record is from RNAcentral.